GGAAUAUUGCACAAUGGGCGCAAGCCUGAUGCAGCCAUGCCGCGUGUGUGAAGAAGGCCCUCGGGUUGUAAAGCACUUUCAGUCGUGAGGAAGGUAGUGUAGUUAAUAGCUGCAUUACUUGACGUUAGCGACAGAAGAAGCACCGGCUCACUCCGUGCCAGCAGCCGCGGUAAUACGGAGGGUGCGAGCGUUAAUCGGAAUUACUGGGCGUAAAGCGCAUGCAGGUGGUUUGUUAAGUCAGAUGUGAAAGCCCGGGGCUCAACCUCGGAAUAGCAUUUGAAACUGGCAGACUAGAGUACUGUAGAGGGGGGUAGAAUUUCAGGUGUAGCGGUGAAAUGCGUAGAGAUCUGAAGGAAUACCAGUGGCGAAGGCGGCCCCCUGGACAGAUACUGACACUCAGAUGCGAAAGCGUGGGGAGCAAACAG
This 425-nucleotide ribosomal RNA is filed under the name uncultured bacterium. RNAcentral describes it as "bacterial SSU rRNA". It matches the Rfam family "Bacterial small subunit ribosomal RNA", at positions 358 to 775 of the family's 1533-position model. The record is from RNAcentral.